Molecule: ribosomal RNA, 566 nt
Filed under: uncultured bacterium
Lineage: Bacteria
Description: partial 16S ribosomal RNA
Rfam family: Bacterial small subunit ribosomal RNA
Source: RNAcentral
UGGGGAAUUUUGGACAAUGGGCGAAAGCCUGAUCCAGCAAUGCCGCGUGUGUGAAGAAGGCCUUCGGGUUGUAAAGCACUUUUGUCCGGAAAGAAAUCCUUGGCUCUAAUACAGUCGGGGGAUGACGGUACCGGAAGAAUAAGCACCGGCUAACUACGUGCCAGCAGCCGCGGUAAUACGUAGGGUGCAAGCGUUAAUCGGAAUUACUAGGCGUAAAGCGUGCGCAGGCGGUUUGCUAAGACCGAUGUGAAAUCCCCGGGCUCAACCUGGGAACUGCAUUGGUGACUGGCAGGCUAGAGUAUGGCAGAGGGGGGUAGAAUUCCACGUNUAGCAGUGAAAUGCGUAGAGAUGUGGAGGAAUACCGAUGGCGAAGGCAGCCCCCUGGGCCAAUACUGACGCUCAUGCACGAAAGCGUGGGGAGCAAACAGGAUUAGAUACCCUGGUAGUCCACGCCCUAAACGAUGUCAACUAGUUGUUGGGGAUUCAUUUCCUUAGUAACGUAGCUAACGCGUGAAGUUGACCGCCUGGGGAGUACGGUCGCAAGAUUAAAACUCAAAGGAAUUGAC